This 441-nucleotide ribosomal RNA is filed under the name uncultured bacterium. RNAcentral describes it as "bacterial SSU rRNA". It matches the Rfam family "Bacterial small subunit ribosomal RNA", at positions 338 to 795 of the family's 1533-position model. The record is from RNAcentral.
CCUACGGGAUGCACCAGUGGGGAAUUUUCCGCAAUGGGCGAAAGCCUGACGGAGCAAUACCGCGUGAGGGAGGAAGGCUCUUGGGUCGUAAACCUCUUUUCUCAGGGAAGAAAAAAUGACGGUACCUGAGGAAUCAGCAUCGGCUAACUCCGUGCCAGCAGCCGCGGUAAUACGGAGGAUGCAAGCGUUAUCCGGAAUGAUUGGGCGUAAGCGUCCGCAGGUGGCACAUCAAGUCUGCUGUCAAAGCCCGCAGCUUAACUGGGAAGAGGCGGUGGAAACUGGUGAGCUAGAGAGCAAUAGGGGUAGAGGGAAUUCCCGGUGUAGCGGUGAAAUGCGUAGAGAUCGGGAAGAACACCAGUGGCGAAAGCGCUCUACUAGGUUGCAACUGACACUGAGGGACGAAAGCUAGGGGAGCGAAUGGGAUUAGAUACCCCCGUAGUC